UGGGACUUGGCACCAAAAUUCCAAAAUCGGAAUUUUUUGACAGCUCUCGGGUAGCCUGCAGCAGGGCUUGUACCGGAACAAGACUGGCCUUGUACCGGUACAAGGGUUGAUGGUUGUACCGGUACAGCCAUCGGGCUUGUACCGGUACAGAGCCGCAGACCGCGCGACCCGAGCCUCGGGUUUGCAAUUUCGUCGGCCUUGUACCGGUACAAGAGCCCGUGUACCGGUACAAGGAGGCAGAUUUCGUGCAGUUUGUUCUGCAGGGGUGUUUUUGCUAUUGUAGCAAUACUAUAACAGCACCCACGCCCCUAGGGCUCUUCUUUGAGCUUGCCACUGCAGGGAGCAAGGUAAGGAGAGCUUCUCUUUGCUUCUCUUUGGUUUUAAUCUCCCUCUAGCCUAGAUUUUGAAGGAUUAAUCCCUUUUCUUUCCUCUUUUAUGCUUCUCCACCAUUGAUGGAGCUAGAAGCUUGGAUUUGGAGCUAAGUGGAGGAUAGAUCUUGGGAUUUAAAGGAUUUAGAGCUUGAUUUGAAGCUUCUAAGAGGUAAGCAUUACACUAUCUUCCUCUAGAUUUGAGUUUUAUUGGAUUUCAUGAGAUGAAACCCUAGAUUGUGAUAUUAGGGUUUAUUUUGGGCAUUUUGAAUCUAGGGCUUUUGAAGCUAGAUUGAUUGGAUUAGAGGCUUCCAUUAGGUUGGAUUGGAUGAGCCCUAGCUUCAUUUUGGAGCUUUAGAGGAGAUUUUUGCACUAGAGGUGAGUUCUUCUCACCUAUACUUGAUUAGCUUAAUGAUUGAGCUAUUGAUGGUUCGUUUCGUUCGUGUGACGCAUGUUUCUCUACCUCUAGGGUACUAGGAGACUAGAGGACACCCUCGUUGGAGCGCACGAGGAGUUUCGUUGCCAUCGGUGGGUUUGGCUUCGGGGAAAUGGGGCGAAAUGACCCCUAUGCUCUUUCUACUUAUUGUAAAAUAUUUUUAAGUUCAUUUCUAUGCUAAAUGGGAUUUAUAUGAAUUUUAGAGCACUUAAAAUGCAUGCCUCGUGUAUUAUGAAAAUUUCACUAUAUAGUAGAGCUAUAUGAGUAGAAUGCAUGCAUAUGGGAAAAGUGUUUAUUUUACAAGUGGAAAAUACAUCUCUUAUGAGGAUUAUGACUUGGAAUAUGUGCUUUGGAACAUAGUUGCCAUGUUUUGACAUAGAAAACAAGAGUGUCAUAAAGGGGCACUCGAAACUAGUGAACUAUGGAACUGCAACAUAGAGAUAUAUUGAUAGGCCUUUGUACAUCUGCUAUAUAUAUUCCAUGUUAGAGACAUGAUGACAUAGAGAUAGGCCUUUGGGACACUCGAUACAUUCCAUGUUAUUAGACAUGAGGACUUGGUACUUGCGACAGAUCGUUUGACUACUUGCCAUUGUGCUCAUUCGCACAUGCUUGUGAGGGUCGCUCCCUACAAGCCGGCACUCCGGAGAUAGCCAUCGCGAUACAUAUUCGCCGUGCGGGAUUGGGCGCCGAAGUGGAUUGCCGUGGGACAGGCUCAUCCCUAGGGUGGGGAUGAUGACUACCACGGGGCCAUUAGGCUCGGCACCGGCCAGACAGCCUACGGGUGGGUCUCAGGGCCAUAGACAGCCUUCGGGUGGGUCUCUUCAGAUUGGGCUAUAUAUAUAUAUAUCCAUUAUGACAUGUGGACAGAUGAUGACUUAGUGUACUACUUGGACAUUGAUUAGAAUAGUAAACAACGGAACUUCACUAUUUCACAUUGUGAACAUCAUGAUAGUUGGAGACAUUUACUUUAUGCAUAGUUGCUUUCAUACUUAUGCUAUUCAUGCUAAGUAGAGAUAUCAUGUCGUAGUAGGUUACAUAUUUACUUACCUGUCGCCUUUCUACUUUUAUUGUCACUGACAUCUUUUGUAGCUUUGGGCCUUGUGGUGCAUGCACUGAAGUCAGUAAUUGCCCACUGGGAACUAUUUUUAAUAGUUCUCAUGCCC
RNAcentral lists this long non-coding RNA (1967 nucleotides) under Ananas comosus (pineapple). RNAcentral describes it as "long non-coding RNA (ACOM_LNC043562)". The record is from RNAcentral. Lineage: Eukaryota; Viridiplantae; Streptophyta; Magnoliopsida; Poales; Bromeliaceae.